RNAcentral lists this long non-coding RNA (381 nucleotides) under Rattus norvegicus (Norway rat). RNAcentral's name for it is "long non-coding RNA NONRATT007872". The record is from RNAcentral. Lineage: Eukaryota; Metazoa; Chordata; Mammalia; Rodentia; Muridae.
GCAGGCAGAGGUGCCGAGGGAUUCUGAGAGGACUUCUGGGCUGUCUGGUGGCACUUUCAGAGCCUCUGAGCCAAGCUGCCUUCCCCAUCACACUGAGAAUGGACAGAACUGAACUUCCUUUCUGUCGGCUCCCAGCCAGCAGCAGCAGCAGCAGCAGCAGCAGCAGCGCUCAGGGUGGGACCCUCCUUUUUCUUUAAUCCCUGUUGGGAACAGGGCAUCAUGGGGUGUGCCUACUCUUCUCCACCGGAGGAGCCCGUCCUGCGAAGGGCCCCACCCGUCAAAGAGAGCAGCUUCGUGGAAAAGAUGAAGAAAACGGGAAGGAACAUUAUCGUAUUCUAUGGCUCCCAGACGGGAACCGCUGAGGAGUUUGCCAACCGGCUG